RNAcentral lists this ribosomal RNA (301 nucleotides) under uncultured bacterium. RNAcentral describes it as "partial 16S ribosomal RNA". It matches the Rfam family "Bacterial small subunit ribosomal RNA", at positions 509 to 808 of the family's 1533-position model. The record is from RNAcentral.
CAGCCGCCGCGGGAAUACGUAGGUCCCGAGCGUUGUCCGGAUUUAUUGGGCGUAAAGCGAGCGCAGGCGGUUAGAUAAGUCUGAAGUUAAAGGCUGUGGCUUAACCAUAGUAUGCUUUGGAAACUGUUUAACUUGAGUGCAGAAGGGGAGAGUGGAAUUCCAUGUGUAGCGGUGAAAUGCGUAGAUAUAUGGAGGAACACCGGUGGCGAAAGCGGCUCUCUGGUCUGUGACUGACGCUGAGGCUCGAAAGCGUGGGGAGCAAACAGGAUUAGAUACCCCCGUAGUCCCUGUCUCUUAUACA